This 76-nucleotide small RNA is filed under the name Xanthomonas vasicola. Its description in RNAcentral is "sX9 sRNA". It matches the Rfam family "Xanthomonas sRNA sX9". The record is from RNAcentral. RNAcentral also lists the same sequence under 1 other name. Lineage: Bacteria; Pseudomonadati; Pseudomonadota; Gammaproteobacteria; Lysobacterales; Lysobacteraceae.
AUGUACCACUCGUACACUCCGGUUCCUGCGCGCCGUCCGCGGCCACCUGACAGCUGCUCGCUACGUUUUGUUAGCC